GCCAGUUUCAAGUUGAGAUGGCAAAAAGAGGUGAAAGCCACCAUAGUAUCUAACCUAUAAGGAUUCGUAAUGAUGUAUUCUGAAACAAAUUUGUUGAAUAACAUUAAGGCUCGGUUGUACAUGCGUCUGGUGUUUGGGGAAAGUGAGGCCUGUGCUAGUGCCCUCCCGUGCUCCAUGAGUAAUUUUAGUCCAGGAUGAGGUGUCUGAACAGCGGCGCCUUUCUUGGCUGUUCCUCUGCUGUUGGGUGUAGCUGUCUGAAAACCUGUAAUUUUGAACAGGAUAGUGUGUCAGCUGCUGAAUUAUGGUGACCUGGCACGUGUAUGCAAGUCAGGAAAAAAAAAAAAAUUUUUUGUGUGGCU
Non-coding RNA from Pelobates cultripes (western spadefoot toad), 359 nucleotides. NCBI's taxonomy places the organism in Eukaryota, Metazoa, Chordata, Amphibia, Anura, Pelobatidae. The record is from the annotation of a GenBank genome assembly.